GGCGAACGCUGGCGGCGUGCUUAACACAUGCAAGUCGAGCGGUAAGGCCCUUUCGGGGUACGACGAGCGGCGAACGGGUGAGUAACACGUGGGUGACCUGCCCUCAGUUCUGGGAUAAGCCUGGGAAACCGGGUCUAAUACUGGAUAUGACCUCAUGACGCAUGUUGUGGGGUGGAAAGCCUUGUGCGACUGAGGAUGGGCCCGCGGCCUAUCAGCUUGUUGGUGGGGUGAUGGCCUACCAAGGCGACGACGGGUAGCCGGCCUGAGAGGGCGACCGGCCACACUGGGACUGAGACACGGCCCAGACUCCUACGGGAGGCAGCAGUGGGGAAUCUUGCGCAAUGGGCGAAAGCCUGACGCAGCGACGCCGCGUGAGGGAUGACGGCCUGUGU
This 392-nucleotide ribosomal RNA is filed under the name uncultured bacterium. RNAcentral describes it as "bacterial SSU rRNA". It matches the Rfam family "Bacterial small subunit ribosomal RNA", at positions 28 to 421 of the family's 1533-position model. The record is from RNAcentral.